Molecule: long non-coding RNA, 234 nt
Organism: Terrapene triunguis (Three-toed box turtle)
Lineage: Eukaryota; Metazoa; Chordata; Testudines; Emydidae
Exons: 2
Source: RefSeq, a predicted model, not a curated record
GCCGGCCCCGGCCCCUGCCCUUUGCCCCUCAGCUGCCGACUGGGCUUCCCUUUGCCCGGCGAGGCCGCGAGAGCGCCCAGCCAACAGGUGUUUGCCCACUCCAACCCCCAGCCAGCCAUGGGGCCAAGGAGAAGGAAACAACUGAGCACUGCAUCUGCCCAUGGCAGCCCCGUAAAGGGACCAAGGAUAAGGAAACAACUUACCAUCGUAUCUUCCCAACCUCCAACCCACUUC